Molecule: ribosomal RNA, 465 nt
Filed under: uncultured bacterium
Lineage: Bacteria
Description: partial 16S ribosomal RNA
Rfam family: Bacterial small subunit ribosomal RNA
Source: RNAcentral
GAUGAACGCUGGCGGCGUGCCUAACACAUGCAAGUCGAACGGAAAGGCUCCUGCUUGCAGGGGUACUCGAGUGGCGAACGGGUGAGUAACACGUGGGUGAUCUGCCCUGCACUUCGGGAUAAGCCUGGGAAACUGGGUCUAAUACCGGAUAGGACGAUGGUUUGGAUGCCAUUGUGGAAAGUUUUUCGGUGUGGGAUGAGCUCGCGGCCUAUCAGCUUGUUGGUGGGGUAAUGGCCUACCAAGGCGUCGACGGGUAGCCGGCCUGAGAGGGUGUACGGCCACAUUGGGACUGAGAUACGGCCCAGACUCCUACGGGAGGCAGCAGUGGGGAAUAUUGCACAAUGGGCGCAAGCCUGAUGCAGCGACGCCGCGUGGGGGAUGACGGCCUUCGGGUUGUAAACUCCUUUCGCUAGGGACGAAGCGCAAGUGACGGUACCUGGAGAAGAAGCACCGGCUAACUACGUG